AAUCAACGCUGGCGGCGUGCCUCAGACAUGCAAGUCGAACGAUUAAACUUUCCUUCGGGAAAGAUAUAAAGUGGCGCACGGGUGAGUAACACGUAAGUAAUCUGCCUUCGAGUGGGGAAUACCUUCGGGAAACCGAAGAUAAUACCGCAUAAUGCAGCGGCACCGCAAGGUGACAGUUGUUAAAGGAGCAAUCCGCCUGAAGAGGAGCUUGCGGCAGAUUAGCUAGNGGUAAGGUAACGGCUUACCAAGGCUACGAUCUGUAUCCGGUCUUAGAGGACGGUCGGACACACUGACACUGAAUAACGGGUCAGACUCCUACGGGAGGCAGCAGUCGGGAAUUUUGGCAAUGGGCGAAAGCCUGACCCAGCAACGCCGCGUGAAGGAUGAAGUAUUUCGGUAUGUAAACUUCGAAAGAAUGGGAAGAAUCAAUGACGGUACCAUUUAUAAGGUCCGGCUAACUACGUGCCAGCCGCCGCCGUAAG
This 482-nucleotide ribosomal RNA is filed under the name uncultured bacterium. RNAcentral describes it as "bacterial SSU rRNA". It matches the Rfam family "Bacterial small subunit ribosomal RNA", at positions 32 to 524 of the family's 1533-position model. The record is from RNAcentral.